Eptesicus fuscus (big brown bat) is the source of this 105-nucleotide small nuclear RNA. The record is from RefSeq and is a predicted model, not a curated record. NCBI's taxonomy places the organism in Eukaryota, Metazoa, Chordata, Mammalia, Chiroptera, Vespertilionidae.
AUAUUACAUUGGCAGCACAUGUACUAAAAUCGGAACAAUACAGAGAUUAGCAUGGCCCCUGUGCAAGGAUGACAGGCACAUUUGUCAUAUGCCUAAGCGACUGUU